AACGAACGCUGGCGGCAUGCCUAACACAUGCAAGUCGAACGAGAUCUUCGGGUCUAGUGGCGCACGGGUGCGUAACGCGUGGGAAUCUGCCCUCAGGUUCGGAAUAACCAUUGGAAACGAUGGCUAAUACCGGAUGAUGACGUUAAGUCCAAAGAUUUAUCGCCUGAGGAUGAGCCCGCGUAGGAUUAGCUAGUUGGUGUGGUAAAGGCGCACCAAGGCGACGAUCCUUAGCUGGUCUGUGAGGAUGAUCAGCCACACUGGGACUGAGACACGGCCCAGACUCCUACGGGAGGCAGCAGUGGGGAAUAUUGGGCACUGGGCCAAAGCCUGAUCCAGCAGUGCCGCGUGAGUGAUGAAGGCCUUAGGGUUGUAAAGCUCUUUUACCCGGGAUGAUAAUGACAGUACCGGGAGAAUAAGCCCCGGCUAACUCCGUG
This 434-nucleotide ribosomal RNA is filed under the name uncultured bacterium. Its description in RNAcentral is "partial 16S ribosomal RNA". It matches the Rfam family "Bacterial small subunit ribosomal RNA", at positions 29 to 507 of the family's 1533-position model. The record is from RNAcentral.